UAAGCGGAGGAAAAGAAACUAACAAGGAUUCCCCUAGUAGCGGCGAGCGAGACGGAAAAGCUCAAAUUUGUAAUCUGGGCGUCUACGACGUCCGAGUUGUAAUCUCGAGAAGUGUUUUCCGUGAUAGACCGCAUACAAGUCUCUUGGAACAGAGCGUCACAGUGGUGAGAACCCAGUACACGAUGCGGAUGCCUAUUACUUUGUGAUACACUUUCGAAGAGUCGAGUUGUUUGGGAAUGCAGCUCAAAUUGGGUGGUAAAUUCCAUCUAAAGCUAAAUAUUGGCGAGAGACCGAUAGCGAACAAGUACCGUGAGGGAAAGAUGAAAAGCACUUUGGAAAGAGAGUUAACAGUACGUGAAAUUGUUGGAAGGGAAACACAUGCAGCCAGACUUGCUAUUCGGGGCAACUCGAUUGGCAGGCCCGCAUCAGUUUUUCGGGGCGGAAAAUCAUAGAGAGAAGGUAGCAGUUUCGGCUGUGUUAUAGCUCUUUAUUGGAUUCGCCCUGGGGGACUGAGGAACGCAGCGUGCUUUUAGCAUAAGCUUCGGCUUAUCCACGCUUAGGAUGCGGGUGUAAUGGCUGUAUAUGACCCGUCUUGAAACAC
Molecule: ribosomal RNA, 601 nt
Filed under: Sporobolomyces cf. roseus AY-13
Lineage: Eukaryota; Fungi; Basidiomycota; Microbotryomycetes; Sporidiobolales; Sporidiobolaceae
Description: eukaryotic LSU rRNA
Rfam family: Eukaryotic large subunit ribosomal RNA
Source: RNAcentral